This is a long non-coding RNA of Sitophilus oryzae (rice weevil), 176 nucleotides long. RefSeq lists it as uncharacterized. The transcript is spliced from 2 exons. Lineage: Eukaryota; Metazoa; Arthropoda; Insecta; Coleoptera; Curculionidae. The record is from RefSeq and is a predicted model, not a curated record.
UCAGGCAACAGAGAUACAGGAGAGGUAAAACGAAAUUACAUAUUUUGAAAGUCAUCUUUUAUUAUGAAAACAACCGAGAUGAAAACCAUGAAGGUAACCAACACCCUAUUCGCCCUUGGACGUGCCACCAACAAACACCCAGAAUGGCCCGGCCCAUACCUAGGACCCAAACCAGC